Long non-coding RNA from Eriocheir sinensis (Chinese mitten crab), 373 nucleotides. RefSeq lists it as uncharacterized. The transcript is spliced from 2 exons. Lineage: Eukaryota; Metazoa; Arthropoda; Malacostraca; Decapoda; Varunidae. The record is from RefSeq and is a predicted model, not a curated record.
GUCCUUUCCCUACCUCACUACCAUUAGUAAAAUCUAGUCACCUAAUAAAAUACACUGAUUCCUGAUCCUCCCUUACUCUUACCCAUAAAGCUAGAGAUGAAGGAAAUUUUGAAAAAUGCCCUCAAGUCCUUAAGUCUAAAUAAUAGGUUGUCCUUUCCCUGCCUUGCCAUGAUAAACAAUAUGUAGUCACCUAAUAAAAUACUAUUCCUGACCCUCCCUUACUCUUACCCAUAAAGCUAGAGACGAAGGAAAGUUUGAAAAAUGCCCUCAAGUCCUUAAGUCUAAAUAAUAGGUUGUCCUUUCCCUGCCUCACCACCAUCAACAAUAUCAAAUCACCGAAUAAAACACUAUUCCUGACCCUCCUUCACUCUUC